GAGACUCCUCAAAUUUGGUGAUAGCAAAUUUCACCGCUAACUGAAAAUUUCGAUCGCCGGAACUUUAAUCCACCAGUGAAAAGCCGAGCCGCCGACACGUUUUAACCCGGCACGUGCGGCGCGAGUUGCGAUCCCCCCAAAUCAGGCAACACAAAAACCAAAGGAAAUCCAAUUUCACCGGUGAACUCCCUUUCCUUUGGCUCCAAAAGACGUUGAAGAAAAAUAAAAGAAAAAUCAGACGCUGAAAAACCCUAACCCUAAACCUAGAUUUUCUUCCAAUUAAUUUUCGAUGGCUAGCGACACCCCAGAUUCUCAUCGCCGAAAGCACCGUCGUUCUCCGUCCGACGACGAGGAAAUUGAUAAAUCCUCGAAGCGUCACAAGCAUCGCCACCACAAACACCGUCACCACCGCCACCGCAGCAAGAAGCACGAAGAUGAGGGCAAAGAUGGUGUCGAAGAUCCCCUCCCUCUUCCCCCUUCGGUUCCUCGACCUGAUGAUGACGUCGAGGAAGGAGAGAUUCUUGAUGAGGAACUGGCGGCUGAAAUCAAGGUCGUUGAAUCUCGUGAAGGCCUCGGUGUUCCCAAUCCGGGAGUUGGUGAAAAUAGUAAUUUUGUGGAUGAGCAAGUAAGGAAGAGUGGUGACAGCAGCGGUGAGAGGAAUCAAAAUCAGGUUGGUUUGUCUAGAAAUUUAAGUGUUGAGUCUCAAGGAGAAUUAGCCUAUAGAGUUGUCCCUGAUGGUCAUAUCAAUGGGGAUUUCCCUUCUAAAUAUAAUGUAGAGGAUGGAAGGCGGCAUCGGCAGUCUAGGUCGCCUUCAAGAAGUGGCAAGAAAAUAAGUUACCAUGAGGAUGUUGAAGAGGCUAAUGACACGAAGCCAAGUGACAUGAGAAAGUCAUUGUCCUCUGAAAGUUCUGGGGAAAAGUACAAGAAAUCAGCUAGCUCACCUUUUGAUUCGAGAGAUCACGAUUAUGCUAGGACUAGAUCUGAGUCAGAUGAUCUUGCUAGAGAAAGGUCACGUUCCCAAAGCAUUGUAGAUGAGGAGGCUCUUUUGAAAAGAAGCCGCCACCAUGAACGAGAUCCUAGUCGGGAUGGACGGCACAGUAGUAGAAACCGUGUAAGGGGUGAUGAUAGGGAACGAAGUGUCAGUUAUGGCAGAUAUGUAGGCGAAAAAAGGCAUCAGAGUAUGGAGACACGAGGUAGCGAAAGGAGCAGGGAGAGGGAGAUAGACAGGGAACGAAGAAGGGAGAAGGAGCAUGAAAGAAGCAGAGAGAGGGAGAUUGAUAUUGAAUGGAGAAGGGACCGGGACAAGGACAGAGAUAUUGAUGGUGAGAGGAGAAGGGAGAAAGAGCGAGCAAGGAGCAGAGAUAGAGACAUGAGUGGUGAAAGGAGAAGGGAGAAGGAGCGAGAAAGGAGUAGGGAUAGAGAACUGGAGGGUGAAAGGAGAAGGGAGAAGGAGCGAGGGAAAAGCAGGGAUAGGGAUCUAGAGAGUGGAAGGGUAAGGGAGAAGGUGCUUGAUAGGAGCUGGGAUAGGGAAUCGGAUAGAGAUAGGAACAGGAAGAAGGAAAGGGAUUGGAGCAGGGAUCGUAGUAAAGCUAAUGACAGAGAAAGAGAUAGGAAAAAGGAAAAAAAUGAAGAACGGAACCAAGAGCGAGAGAGGGAGAGGAGAAGUGACAGGAGUAGGGAUAAAGGGAGGGACAUGGAGAUUGAAAAUGAUGGCUAUAGUGAUCGAGAUAGGUAUAAGAAUUAUAAGCUCCCGAAACGGGAUGAAACUGAAACUUACCGGGACAGAAGGAAGAAUGAAACAGAAAAGGUUUAUGGUUCUAACAGUGAUCCAUUGGAAGGAGAUGCAGAUAAAAGAAAAAGAGAUGAAGAGGAGCAAGAUGAUUUUGAAGAAAGGAUUACAUUAAAACUUGCGGAACAAGAAGAGGAUGAACUCAGUAGGAUUAAAGAGGAAAGUAGGAAGCGAAGACAAGUCAUCUUAGAGAAAUAUAAGAAUCAGCAUUUACAGCAGCAGACUCUGUCUCAUUCAGAGGAUGUGAAUAAAGAUAAUGAGCCUGUAGAGAACCGUGGGCAAACAGUCGAUGGUGGUAACACUGGUCCAGAUGUUCUUGGUGGUGGACAUGGAGAUCUCAUUGUUGCUGACCCAUCACUGUCAGUUAGGAAGUCACCUCCAGAAAAUGGGCAUGCUGCUGCUGGGCUUGGUGAGGGUACCCCGAAGAGUGAGAGAUCAGAUGAUAUUUUCUGUGAUGAUAUAUUUGGGGAAACACCUACUGGAGUUCGUAAAUUGGGUAAAGGUGAUGGCUUGCUGGUUAUAAGGAGUGGUCUUCACGACAAUUGGGAUGAUGCAGAAGGAUAUUAUAGCUAUCGGUUUGGUGAGCUACUUGACAGCCGAUAUGAAGUGACUGCUGCUCAUGGCAAAGGUGUUUUUUCAACUGUUGUACGUGCAAAGGAUCUUAAGGCUGGUACUAGUGAUCCUGAAGAAGUGGCUAUAAAGAUCAUUCGUAAUAAUGAAACAAUGCACAAGGCUGGUCAGCUGGAGGUUCAAAUAUUGAAAAAAUUGGCAGGUGCAGAUCCAGACAAUAAGCGCCAUUGUGUUUGUUUUCUUUCAAGUUUCAAGUACAGGAAUCAUCUCUGUUUAGUUUUUGAGUCGCUUCAUAUGAACCUGCGUGAAGUUCUCAAAAAGUUUGGUCGCAAUAUUGGUCUUAAACUAACUGCUGUCAGAGCAUAUGCUAAGCAACUUUUUAUUGCGCUUAAGCAUCUCAAAAAUUGUGGUGUUCUUCAUUGUGAUAUAAAGCCUGAUAAUAUGCUGGUAAAUGAGGCAAAAAAUGUGCUGAAGCUUUGCGAUUUUGGUAAUGCCAUGUUUGCUGGUAAAAAUGAAAUUACACCAUAUCUUGUAAGCCGCUUUUAUCGUGCCCCAGAAAUAAUUCUUGGUUUGCCAUAUGAUCAUCCAAUGGAUAUAUGGUCUGUCGGUUGCUGUUUGUAUGAGCUUUAUACCGGAAAGGUUCUUUUCCCUGGUCCUACAAACAAUGACAUGCUACGCCUUCACAUGGAACUAAAAGGCCCUUUUCCGAAGAAGAUGCUGCGUAAGGGAGCAUUUGCAGAACAACACUUUGAUCAAGAUCUGAAUUUUCAUGCUACAGAAGAGGAUCCUGUUACUAAAAAGACUAUAAAGAGGAUGAUUCUUAACAUAAAGCCAAAAGAUAUCAAUUCAAUUAUUGUUGGCUUUCCUGGUGAGGAUCCCAAGAUGGUAGCCAACUUCAAAGACCUCCUAGAAAAAAUUUUUGUGUUGGAUCCAGAGAAGAGAAUGACAGUAACACAGGCAUUGGCUCAUCCAUUCAUCACGGGCAAGUGAAACAUGUUGCUGAUUUUAUGACUCCAGAAAUGUGUUGCGCUAGAUAUUUGUACAUUAUGACCUAACUGAUAUUUAGAUAUCUAAUCAUUGGGAAUUGUCUGUCUUUAUCUUCUCUGUGCUGGACUAAGAGCUUUGGACACAGUUUCUGGCGUGGUUGAAGUCAAAAGGGUGAUGUUUGGUCAGGAGUACACUUUACUGGCGAUUCUUUCAGUGGAAUGUACUUUUUCUAUUGAUAUCUGCUACAGCUUUGAGGCAACCCUCCAGUGCUUAAAUGCUUAAAAGGCACCCAGGAGAAGGAGUCAGCUUGAAGGGAAAGUCCAUCUCAGGUGUAAAACCUGUGCCUCCCACCUCUUGUAAGUAUUUUUCAAUAUCAUUAUCUCAGCAUUGUCUAUAUUGUGCGUUUUCAGGAAUGCUUGAGUGGUGUUCCUUACUUAAAUGUUCUGGAAACUUGGUGUGACUCAUGCUCUAAAAUCUGUCUUAUUAAUUCUCAAAGCCAGACUCAUCUCUCCAUAACUAGAGAUUUUAACUUUGUACCUGUCUUAUUUGCCCUCGAAUUCUCAUGAAUUGGCUGAGCUAGUUUAUUACUCAUGGCUGAAAAUCCUUCUGUAAAACUUAGGUGGUGUACCAAUAAAAUUAGUGCUGCAAAGUCACAAGAGGCUCACCUACUUAUUGUAGCUUUAUUCCUUGUAAGGUCUUAUUUUUUACUCAUUAGGCUUGGAGAGAUGAUCUGGUUUUAGUUUAUUGAUUUUAAUUUUAGUUCAUAAAUGAACAAGGAAAUGUGUCUUUCAAUUUUAUCAUCAUGUUUCUGGUGCUUGUUAAUUUUAGUCUAUGAUUUGUUCAAUCUUUUUCCAUUUGGGACCUUUUUAAUUUCAAAGGUUGUCAUUUAGAGUAUUAUUGAUGAGUUUUAAAGUGCGUGAUCUUCUUGAAUGUGUUGCUGGGGAUUUUUUCUAGCUUCUGGAAAAGCAACUUAGAAUCCUAAGAGCCUAAGGGCAAGAGAAUUCUCGAAUUGAAUGUAGAUGUCUUGCUGAGGCACUGUGGUGCACCUUAAGGGAAGGUAAUAAUAGUUAAGGUUCAAUUUGAUUGCUGAAAAGCUUUUUAAAACAAAGACUUUGUUUUUUCUGUUGCAAAAAAAAUUGAAAAGGAAAUUUUAUUUACAUAUUCCCUUUAUUUUCUUGUAAGGAACAGUAUUGCAAUAUAUUAUUAUUAUCUAGGAUUGCUAUACAAUCAGGUAUGCAUAUAGGGUUGUGAUGUGAUGGGUUGGUUAAUGCACACAGGCUGGCUUUUUGCGAGGCCCUCCCUAUUUCAAUGGAAAGGGGGAAUUGCCAUUUUCUUCUUUGUCACUUUAAUGGAGUCUAACGUUCAUUUCUUGUAUCCCUCUUUGAUUUCUUGUUCUUUAUUAUUUUUGUUUUCCUCUUUCCCUGUUUUUAUCUUCCUUGUCUUACCUGUGGUUUCUGUACCUUUUUUUUUAAAAAAAAAAUUAUUUUCUGUACUUUGUUGAUCUUGUAAACUUGUGAGAUGGAAGCUAAAUCUAUGAUGUGGAUUUUAAUUAGACAAUGGUGGUCCGGGUUGGCUGGAUGGGAAGCACUAUUUCUUUUUGUUCUGUAUGGUGCCUGAUAGUUUAGAUUGACCAGUGAGUACCGUGAUUUCCUGUUUCCAAUUAUAUGAUGAUAAUUCGUAUGACAUUGAUUUGCGUCUUUUACUAUUUUUAAGUUGAAUCCAAGUGUGAGUCCAUCAUUUCUUGUGUUACUUUAUGGUUUAAUAUGUUGAAAUGAUAAUUAAAAGUUUAGAGAACUGCACUAUUAAAAGUGUCAUUAUAUUGCCCUUGGUUUGAUUACAUGUUAUCGGGUGUCUGAUGGAUCAUUUGACUGUCAGUAUAAUCUUUUUAGGUGGGGUGGGUGUGGAAUCAGGAUACAUGGUGGGUGUAGGGUGGUUUUAGGUUAGUUUAAACUUUGAGAAGCAGCUUAGUUUAUAUUAGUUGGAGUUCUUGCUGCUGUGAGGUUGUGAUGUAUGCCAACCUGAAUGAGCUGAAAUUCAUCUCACCCUCGCAUUCAUGGCACUCUCCUUUGAGAAAAGGUUACUGAAUUGAUUAUCCUGUCAUUGUGGGUAAUUGCCUUUGUAUUGUUGCGUAUAAGUUUACAAUUUUGUACUUGUAUACGAUCUAGAUCAUUAAUAUCUUAUUAUUUUGAAAGCAAUAAUGGUGUUGUAAAUCAUACUGUUAGUAUGAGUUCAUCAGAAAUCAUACUGUCACGAUCCUAUUUUAUUGUUUGUUUGUUUGUUUUUUCUUAA
Molecule: non-coding RNA, 5635 nt
Organism: Theobroma cacao (cacao)
Lineage: Eukaryota; Viridiplantae; Streptophyta; Magnoliopsida; Malvales; Malvaceae
Source: RefSeq, a predicted model, not a curated record